CUCUCGGAGGUCCGUGCGUCUCGGUGGUUGCUGGUCCACUGGGGCUGUGCCUGAACGCGCGCCCGGACUGACUCGUCCCUAGGAGGCUCGCAGCCGUCAGGCCUUUAGGAGCCUCCGUGCCAUUGCACCUGCUUUUUCUCGAAGAUUUUUGAAGAAAAAUUAAGAACAUUAGUCUGAAAACUACAAAGGAAACCAACCUCAUGUUCCUGGCUGAGAGAUCAGAAUAUAACCAAGGGAUUGCUAGGGAAAUGGCAUUGUCAAACAGAAGACCGAUUUCAGGGAUGGAGGAAAAGUAGGCAGACUAAAACUAGGCUGUCACCAUAUCCCUGCAAGAAACUCUCGAGAUACCUUUUGGAGAGAAAUGUGAAUAAUUGGUUCCCGAGGGGAGAGAGGAGGACAAGAUCAGGAAGAACCACAUGGUUGAGGGGGCAGGACUUCAAAGAUUCUUAAUAUUCUAACAUAUUUCAUUAAUGCAGACAAGCCAAUUUUCUUCACUUAACAUCUCUGAAAUAAGGAUGUGCCUUACAAGUUAUACCACCUUAGAAUUAUUCCUAGCAUCCUUUUUUCUCUUUCAGUGGUAAAUAAAAUAAAGGUGUAACUUACAAACAAUGGAUUCCAUGAAAAUAUGGCUAGUUCUUAAACUAUAUGGUGGAAAUGGGUGCACAGUUUAUUUUUAAUUACCUCUUAUAUAUUAUACAUGUUUUUAUAUAUUCAGUGUAUAAUAAAAUCAAGUUAACACAGAUUAUGUCAUGGGUCAGAUUAAUAUAGUAGGAAGAAGAUUAGGAAAAAGGACAAAAUCAAAUAGGAUCGAGACUUAGACGGUGAUGGUAUAUAAAAUAAGAGAGUAAAGCGAGACUGAGGUGAAUAAGAUUGUAGAUUCCGAGAUAGAGACAGAGAUAGGCAUAGAAACCCUUAGGAGCCAGGACAGAGUAAGACAGAAUAUGAGAUCUGGAGGUUGGUUCCAAAGUCAAAGAGGAGGAAGAUGGGCUAUAGGGCUGAGGCUCUAGAGCAGUGCUGUUGAGUAGAACUUUCUGCAACGAUGGAAAUAUCUGCAUCUGCACCAUUCAAUAUGGCAGCCACUAGACACAUAAUAAUGUGGUUACUGAACAUCUGAAAUGUGGCUAGCAUGACCGAGAAACUGAAUUUCUAUUUAUUUCAUUUUAAGUAAUGAAAUGGCCACAAGUAGCUAGUGACCACAGUUUUGGACACUGUUGCUCUAGAGUGUCCAUGGCUUCUGAAUCCAGACAGAGGGCAGGGAGAAGGGCACUAGCCCCAGGACACUCACCAGC
Molecule: long non-coding RNA, 1289 nt
Organism: Acinonyx jubatus (cheetah)
Lineage: Eukaryota; Metazoa; Chordata; Mammalia; Carnivora; Felidae
Exons: 4
Source: RefSeq, a predicted model, not a curated record